Molecule: long non-coding RNA, 820 nt
Filed under: Homo sapiens (human)
Lineage: Eukaryota; Metazoa; Chordata; Mammalia; Primates; Hominidae
Description: HSALNT0362300
Source: RNAcentral
UGCUGAGGUUGAGGCUGAGAACUUGCAUUGGCUGAAGACUUGCAGCUGGAACCAGAUAGGAAGUAAGCUUCUGGAAGCACUAAAAUGAAUUGUCACUCCCACUCUCGAUACCCACAGCUUCAAAACCACCAGAUGCUGACAGCUGCUGUGGAAAUCUAAGCAAGUGGAGGGAUAUCCAGAUUGAGCUGGCCAAGUUUGGUACAAGAGCUAAGAGUCUGGGAACAAUGGGAGGUCAGCUUUCUGUGUCACUGUGGAUACAAAGGAAGUACUUUUGAGACACAGACAGGAAGUGACUGAGGACUUUAAGGGCAGCUUGGGCUAUCCAGGAAAGUUCUUCAUUCUUGUUUUUUUCUGCUGAGGCUCUAGAGGGACACCUGUCAGACUGACCAAGGCCGAAGAUGGCUCCCUACCAGAGAGAUUCAACUGAGGGCUUGCGAUAGGUCUUGUGACAUUGCUAUUGAUCUUGAGACAUUCAUCUGAAGCAUGAUUGUCACUGGCUUCAAACUUUCCUCAUCAUAAGAGAGGGACUGGGUCUACUUCAAAUGUUUCGCACUAAUGAAGUUAACAUUCCCUUUCAUGGUGAGCUCUGCCCUCAUCAUGAGACCAUGCCCAGGCUAGUCUGCUGGAAGGAAGUCAGAGGCACACGGAAGAGAGCCACAUUCAGCCAAGGCCAUUCUAGACCAGUUGUUCCCUGUCACUUCACUAAUUGGCCACAGCACAAGGUUUUGUUGAAGAUUGAAUGAGUGUGUAAAGUGCCCAACAGAAAGUCUGGCACAUGGUACACGGAUGGAGCUGGAAGCCAUUAUCCUCAGCAAACUAA